AUUCCACACACGUUUAUUAGGAUGUCUGUCAAUCGUCAUCGUUUAGUCCUCGCAUGGUGUCGUUUAUUCUCAUAUCGCGUCAUGCAACCGUACGACAAUUGCAUUUGCUGAGCCAUGGGUUAAAAAGACGGCGAUAGGUACAAAAACCCCGUUUCGCUGACCAAACACGUUCAUCGGUAAUUUGCCUUUGGAACCGAAAAGCGCGAAGAAAUUGCAAAUUUUCUUUCUUCCGCUCGACGAAGCAAACACAGAAUAAACAAUGACAGAGGAUAGCAGCGUUAGGGUUUCUUCGUCCGAUGAAACCUCCGUAGCCAACGAUGCUUCGCAAACGAGGCAGAGGAAGAAGAGAAAGUGGGAUCAACCGGCAGAGUCCUUGGUACCUGUUGGGAUGGCAGUUCCUGGAGCCCUUCCUUUGAGCAAUGCUGCGUCCCUUGGAGGAGUUGCAUUUCCGGGUGUGAAUCCGGUUAUCUCUGGCGCUCUUUUGACAAAUCCUCUGGCAGCUUCAGUUCAGCUUCAGCAACUCAAUGCCUCCGCUGCCACCCAAAAAUUGAAUCAACAAAAGAUCCAAGAUGAAUUGAUAAUUGCUCGAGAAAUUGUCAUAAAUGAUGCAGAGUCUUCAGUACGUUACAAGUUGACAAAGCGCCAGACACAAGAGGAGAUCCAGAGGUGCACUGGUGCUAUAGUCAUAACUAGGGGGAAGUAUCGACCACCUAAUGCACCACCUGAUGGAGAGAAACCGUUGUAUCUUCACAUCUCUGCAGGGGCUCAUAUAAAAGAGACAGCAGAACGAAUUUUAGCUGUUGAUCGUGCUGCUGCAAUGGUGGAAGAAAUGCUGAGACUGGGGCAAAAUUCACCGUCAAUUUCUUCUGCCUCUCCUUCAGCAUUGGUUAAUGGACUGAAGAUGCUGAGUACAUGUGUAUUUUUGGGCUUUGAUGCUGAUCCUUCACUGAACAUUGUUGCUCGUAUACGUGGACCAAAUGACCAGUAUAUAAAUCACAUUAUGAAUGAAACAGGAGCAACGGUUAUACUGAGAGGAUGUGGUUCAGGACACAAUGAGUCCUUGAAUGGAGCAGAUGGACAGCAGCCUCUACAUCUGUUUUUAUCUAGUAACAAUGCAAAAAGUCUUGAAGAUGCCAAGUUUUUGGCUGAAAAUCUUUUGGAUACAAUCAGUACAGAGUGUGGUGCUUCAAGGGUUUCAUCAUGUAAGGUUUAUAGUGCUGUUCCACCUCCGCAGCAGGUAUAUACUGCUGUUCCACUACCGCAGCAGAUUUAUAGUGGCUCUUCAUUGCCAAAGCAGAUUCCUACUACCAUUACACCCCCACAACAAGUUUAUAGUGCUGUUCCACCCCCACAUCAGUUGUUGACUGGAGUUCAGAGUUCUGGAAUUGAGCUAGAGGCAAGCACAGGCCUUACCACGAGUUCAUUGUCAUCACCAGUCUCAACACUGGUUCCUCCAGCUUCCUUGGUUGGAGUGCCUGGUGUCACCACUGCCCUCACUUCAGGGACUAUGCUGCAAUCUACAGGACAGUUAAGCUCUGUGCCUCAACCAAACAUGGUUGGUUAUACUCCCUCUUUGGUAUCACGUUGCACUAGCUAUUUUGGAUAUGACGGGAUAUAUCCUCAAGCUACCCCUUUGCAACAAGUUGCCCUUGCUUUGAGACACUCACCUCCUGUUGCAUCAACAGUUGCUCCCACAACAUCGGCAUCAAACAGAGAAUCCAAGUCAACCACAAGCUCUGAUUGUGAAAAGGAGAAGCAGCCACCUCAGAAAAGAAAGUUUCAAGAGUUACCAGUUGGUUCAAAGGGCUCUACAAAGCUUGAUCAGGUAUUUUCUCUGACCUUCUAUGAAGCUAAUAGGCUGACACUGGACCUGUCUGUUGGGCCGUUGGUUUGUAUGUUUGACAGGGUUUUCAGUUUUGAAGGAGUAGGAGGGUGCUUGUGACUUCACAGCAUAUGCCCUUGCCAAUCCAAGAUGUUAUUCUGGUUUUUACCUUCGUUGGUAAAAUAGCUGCAAAAGGUGUUGCAGCAUGCUUUUGGUCAUACCCACUUGAAGAAAAGGGUUUAUCAGCACCAAAUUGAAACAUCCCGUUACAGGGAAAAAUAAAAUUAGAGAUAUAGGAUAUAGAUAUGAGAUAUCAGGGCAAGGUACAAUAAGAAAAUGAAUAAAAUUAAAAAUAUAUGAGCGGAGUUUGUUAAAAUAAUAAAGCCCUUUCAGUGGGUUAUCCAUUGAAUUGACACUAACAAACAUCUAAUAUUUUAAAACCAUGGUGCUGUCAACCUGGAGGUGAUAAAAUAGAAACCAUUUCGUUUGAUAUUCUUGCAUUUUUCUUUAGCCAAUUACAACUAAAAAGAUGAAAACAUCUUACACCACCAUGUAAAAAACACACCCUCACAUCUUGUGUGCUACCAAUUAACCCAUUGCUUGCCAAAAAUCAGGUUCCAGUACUACCAGUGAACCCAUCUCUCACCAAAAUACUCAGUCUUGAGUGCAAGAUUUAUUUAUCUUGAUUUUUGAUAUCAAUGCUACAUUGGUACUGGUGCUCAAACCUUUUUAUAUGGAAAAUUUGAGCUUCAGAUGUACAGUUAUCUUGCCAUGAUUAUCUAUUGGAAGCAUGGGUUGCAAUAAAUUUUGCACCCAUCUUAAUUAUAUCAUCUAUUCAUUUACACAAUUACCAUUUUUGUACUUUCCUGGUUGCUACACUGCUUAGUCACCUUAUAUUGUUUUACCUUGCUUUGUUUACUUGUUUUUCUCCUUUGAAGUUGAGAGUCUUAAUUCACUUGUUUGGCGUGUUGAAACAAUUAGUAAAAUAUCUGAUUCGGAAGUUGUGUUUGGAUUGUUGUUUUCUCCCACUCUAACUCAAUUGCAGGGAUUGGAACCUCUAAAACCUAAAAUAUCGACUAUGCCUGCUCCUAAGAAGUUGGUCCAGCCAUCAUCCAAUGGAAAGCUGCCACCUCCACCAAGAACUAUGCCCCCUCCACCUCCACCCAUAUUUUCUGAUGCACCUGAAGCUAAAGUUCAGGACAGCAUUAGGAAUUCAGUUAAGGCAAAAUCUGAUGCAGUUCCUGAUACAUUGGUCAAGCUAAUGGAAUAUGGAGAGGAUGAUGAUGAUCUAGACGAUUCCAGUGGGGAUUCACUUCCUCAUGCCACCCGAACAAUUGGGGUUCAAAAGCCGUUUUGGGCUUUAUGAGCUGCGAAGUACAUAUUAACAUAAGAGAUGUAAAUAGGUAAUUAUUUGGGUUGCGACUAAGUCAUUGCACUAGUGGUCGUUGAAUGCUGGUUAUAGCAACACUUUCCCAAUGGAACAAGAGUGAAGCCCAUGGAUUUUUGGAGCCGAAUAGUUGGCUGUUGAGUAGCAUUUGACUUUAAGUCGUAAUUGCCCAUUCUCAUAUACUAUGAGACCGGAUCGUCUGUUGUAAUUUUUUGUCCUUAUAAGUAUACAUGUACACUGGUAGUCUAUUUUUUGUAGUUUAGUGGGCUAAUAUGAUGUUACGAUGCCUAUGAUAAGGAAUGGUUUUUGCUUCUUCCCCUAGUUCAUUUUUAGUUGGCACCCUCUCAGUGAUUCCUCCGAACUGAUGAACGAAACUAUGCUUCCCGUUCUACAUGCUACCUUUUUCCUACAACUAAGCAUCUUGUUCUUAUUGCUGUUUCCAUAGUAAUGCUCUAAAUUUUUGGAAAUGCAACUUUUAGAAGUACAAUUUGUAUAUGAUGUAAAUGCAAAUUGCCCAAAAUCUUAUGCAAUCUGAAUAUAAAUCGUAGUGCGUUUUCCCU
Molecule: RNA transcript, 3769 nt
Organism: Abrus precatorius (Indian licorice)
Lineage: Eukaryota; Viridiplantae; Streptophyta; Magnoliopsida; Fabales; Fabaceae
Gene name: protein RIK
Exons: 12
Source: RefSeq, a predicted model, not a curated record